Astatotilapia calliptera (eastern happy) is the source of this 821-nucleotide long non-coding RNA. NCBI's taxonomy places the organism in Eukaryota, Metazoa, Chordata, Actinopteri, Cichliformes, Cichlidae. The record is from Ensembl.
CAACCCACUCAGACUACAUCCAGGUCAUCAAAGCCCUGAUUGUGAAGUAUUCUUUAAGAGAUGUACACGGAAAUGGUUAUGACACCUGGCACAGCCAACUCAAGAGAAAGUUCAAAGCAGAACGGGCUCCCCUAAUCAGCAACGAAGAAGUGAACCGGGUUAAAGAAAAGUUUGGACGCACGCAGAAACAUCGGACCACAGAGGAAUCCAGCAGCUCCUGUCUGAAGAGACUGAAGCCCUCUCUCGAUUCGUGCUUUGUGGGGGAAGAUGCAGCCUCCGUUGAUGCUCAUAUCAAGGUGCUAAAUGAUCAGCACAAGAAGCUACAUCCUGACACAGCACUGGUGAAAGACCGCAUGACAAAAACCUUUGCAUGGAGACGUCGAGAGGUAGCUGAAGGAAUGUGUACUGUGGACCUAUUAAAGAGAUAUCCAUUCCUGGGGACAUCUGCAGGGUUGUGUUAUGAGGUUGAUUUAAUGCAUCCCUGCCAAGACAACAUCUGUCGCUGCUUUAGCGAAAACUUCACUGCUGUUCUUCAAAUGACCAAGGAUUUGCCACUGAAGAAGGUCUCGCUGGAUGAGGCCUACAUCUCAGCAUUCUCCACCUUCUUCAUGUUCAACAUGCAUACUUCAAGAAAACACUUGUCUUUCUUCAGAACUGCAUUGUCAACAUAGGAGACCAGGGAGACAAACCCCUGCCAGUAAGUGUCACCAGGGUACUUAACCAACUCUAUUAAAUAUGCCCCCACUCCACAAAUGUUCAAAAUGUUCAAAAAGGGCAUUUACUCUGAGGAAGUUGAUUAUACAUGUUGGGUUAGUACACGC